Molecule: ribosomal RNA, 301 nt
Filed under: uncultured bacterium
Lineage: Bacteria
Description: partial 16S ribosomal RNA
Rfam family: Bacterial small subunit ribosomal RNA
Source: RNAcentral
CAACCGCCGCGGGAAUACGGAGGGAGCUAGCGUUGUUCGGAAUUACUGGGCGUAAAGCGCACAUAGGCGGUUAUUCAAGUCAGAGGUGAAAGCCCGGGGCUCAACCCCGGAACUGCCUUUGAAACUAGAUGACUAGAAUCUUGGAGAGGUCAGUGGAAUUCCGAGUGUAGAGGUGAAAUUCGUAGAUAUUCGGAAGAACACCAGUGGCGAAGGCGACUGACUGGACAAGUAUUGACGCUGAGGUGCGAAAGCGUGGGGAGCAAACAGGAUUAGAUACCCCGGUAGUCCCUGUCUCUUAUAC